ACAAAAACCGUUACUGGCCAGCAGUAAUCUCCGUCUCUCGCUGCGGUUUACGCUGUUUUAGGUAAGUUUAGUCGCUAAAGUCACACAAAUAUGAUAUACAAAUGUUUCUGACACGUUUCUUACUUGUUAUUGACAUGUUUCAAUUAAAUUUAUUUUAUAGAAAUGGUUUAGUGUCUUCGAAAAAGUCCGUUAGCAUCUAUCUUAGCAGUUUUCAGGUAAUGUUAGGCUAAUUUUGAGCUCUUGUUGAUGAAACUCUGGGCUUUUCAUCAAAUCGUCGUGUGUGUGAGAUAUUUUGAUGGCUCUGUGAAUGUUUUGCUGGUGAUUUGUCUGUUUUUUUUUUUUUUUUUUUAGAAAAGGCUGAUUUACUGAAUCGAUGACGUCACUUACACUGAGAGUGUAACGUUAAUCGGCUGAAAACAAGUUCACAUGAGUUUUGAUAUUUCAUGAUAAACAGAUAUUAAUACAAAUUGUUCUGUGAUUUCAGGAUGACAGAAAGAAACUAUACAGAACAAAGUGAAACUCCAAGAUUUUUGAAAAGAAAAUUGGUGAAAUAUAUUCUGAAAAAGGCAUAUUAAUGUAUUUCAUGAGCUUCUUCAGUAAAUCUGUAUUUCUAAGUCAGUAUCUCCCUUCAGAAAUGUUGCUGAAGGGAGAUACUGACUUAGAAAUACAGGCAAACUCAUGAAAGAAGCUCAUGAAAUACUCAUGAAAGAAGCUCAUGAAAUACAUUAAUAUGCCUUUUUCAGAAUAUAUUUCACCAAAUUUAAGAAGUCCCUGACAUCAAAACAUUGCUUGUUUUGUUCCUGGACUCUUCAGUGAUGAUGAGCAGAGUCUAAGUGAACCUGCUGUCAGACAAUCACUAUUGCACACCAAAUGCUCUUACUCAGCAGAUGGGGACAGCUACCAUCACCCAAUUUUCACCCAAAAGUGGCUGCGCUAUGCGCCAGACCGGGCAGCAGGGACUGGACGACAACUUAUGCAGGCAUCAGAUGACAAUGAAGUGUAAAUAAAGAGUAGAGAGGCUAAUAAACAUUAAUUUGAUUUUAAA
Molecule: long non-coding RNA, 1045 nt
Organism: Carassius gibelio (silver crucian carp)
Lineage: Eukaryota; Metazoa; Chordata; Actinopteri; Cypriniformes; Cyprinidae
Exons: 4
Source: RefSeq, a predicted model, not a curated record